RNAcentral lists this ribosomal RNA (497 nucleotides) under uncultured bacterium. Its description in RNAcentral is "partial 16S ribosomal RNA". It matches the Rfam family "Bacterial small subunit ribosomal RNA", at positions 28 to 507 of the family's 1533-position model. The record is from RNAcentral.
GACGAACGCUGGCGGCGUGCCUAAUACAUGCAAGUUGAGCGCUGAAGGUUGGUACUUGUACCAACUGGAUGAGCAGCGAACGGGUGAGUAACGCGUGGGGAAUCUGCCUUUGAGCGGGGGACAACAUUUGGAAACGAAUGCUAAUACCGCAUAAAAACUUUAAACACAAGUUUUAAGUUUGAAAGAUGCAAUUGCAUCACUCAAAGAUGAUCCCGCGUUGUAUUAGCUAGUUGGUGAGGUAAAGGCUCACCAAGGCGAUGAUACAUAGCCGACCUGAGAGGGUGAGCGGACACAUUGGGACUGCGACACGGCCCAAACUCCUACGGGAGGCAGCAGUAGGGAAUCUUCGGCAAUGGACGAAAGUCUGACCGAGCAACGCCGCGUGAGUGAAGAAGGGUUUCGGAUCGGAUAACUCGGUUGGUAGAGAAGAACGUUGGUGAGAGUGGAAAGCUCAUCAAGUGACGGUAACUACCCAGAAAGGGACGGCUAACUACGUG